AUUGGAAUUGCUGGGUCAAAUGGUAAUUCUAUUUUUAACUUUUGAAUAACUGCCACACUGUUUAUUACUGUGGCUUCACUAUUUUACAUCUCUACCAGCAAU
RNAcentral lists this microRNA precursor (102 nucleotides) under Marmota monax (woodchuck). The record is from RNAcentral. Lineage: Eukaryota; Metazoa; Chordata; Mammalia; Rodentia; Sciuridae.